RNAcentral lists this small nuclear RNA (305 nucleotides) under Ailuropoda melanoleuca (giant panda). Its description in RNAcentral is "7SK RNA". It matches the Rfam family "7SK RNA". From Rfam's summary of the family: 7SK was discovered as an abundant small nuclear RNA in the mid-70s but a possible function has only recently been suggested. Lineage: Eukaryota; Metazoa; Chordata; Mammalia; Carnivora; Ursidae. The record is from Rfam by way of RNAcentral.
GUGAGGGUGAUUUGACUGUGACAGCUGUCACCCCAUCGAUUGCUAGGUUUGAUUUGACUGAUCUGGCUGCCUAGGCGGGUGUCCCUUUCCUUUCUCACCACGUAUGUCCCUCCUUGUGUUGUUGAAGAGGACAACCUUCCCCAAUAGAGGAGGACCAUUCUUCCGUCAAGGAUACAGGAGUAGCUUCGCUCCCCUGCUAGAACGUUGAAACAGGCUCUCAAGGUCCAUUUAUAGAAUAAUGUAGGGUAGUCAAACUUCCAGACACAUCCAAAUGAGGCACUGAAUGUGACAGUCUGCCUCUCUUU